AUGGCGGUGGGGGUGCAACAUACGGUGAUGGAUCGAUGGAGUAAGGGCCGGGAAUCGGAGGAGGGACUCACAGUGGAGGUUGGUUGCGUGCUCGGGGAGGCCGGGGUGGACGAGGUGACGCAGAUCGAUGGCGGCGGACGGCACGACACCGAGGUUGAAUACGACCAACGCAGCGACGGCGAUGCGGCAUGUUGGCCUCGAUCCAACAACGAAGAUGACGAAGACAAUAAUGAGGAGGCUUCUCUACAGCGUAUCACGCGCCUGGGAGCACGAUAG
Molecule: ribosomal RNA, 276 nt
Filed under: Triticum aestivum (bread wheat)
Lineage: Eukaryota; Viridiplantae; Streptophyta; Magnoliopsida; Poales; Poaceae
Description: partial small subunit ribosomal RNA
Source: RNAcentral